Molecule: ribosomal RNA, 2919 nt
Filed under: Bacillus anthracis (anthrax bacterium)
Lineage: Bacteria; Bacillati; Bacillota; Bacilli; Caryophanales; Bacillaceae
Description: bacterial LSU rRNA
Rfam family: Bacterial large subunit ribosomal RNA
Source: RNAcentral
UUAAGUUAGAAAGGGCGCACGGUGGAUGCCUUGACACUAGGAGUCGAUGAAGGACGGGACUAACGCCGAUAUGCUUCGGGGAGCUGUAAGUAAGCUUUGAUCCGAAGAUUUCCGAAUGGGGAAACCCACCAUACGUAAUGGUAUGGUAUCCUUAUCUGAAUACAUAGGGUAAGGAAGACAGACCCAGGGAACUGAAACAUCUAAGUACCUGGAGGAAGAGAAAGCAAAUGCGAUUUCCUGAGUAGCGGCGAGCGAAACGGAACAUAGCCCAAACCAAGAGGCUUGCCUCUUGGGGUUGUAGGACAUUCUAUACGGAGUUACAAAGGAACGAGGUAGACGAAGCGACCUGGAAAGGUCCGUCGUAGAGGGUAACAACCCCGUAGUCGAAACUUCGUUCUCUCUUGAAUGUAUCCUGAGUACGGCGGAACACGUGAAAUUCCGUCGGAAUCUGGGAGGACCAUCUCCCAAGGCUAAAUACUCCCUAGUGAUCGAUAGUGAACCAGUACCGUGAGGGAAAGGUGAAAAGCACCCCGGAAGGGGAGUGAAAGAGAUCCUGAAACCGUGUGCCUACAAAUAGUCAGAGCCCGUUAAUGGGUGAUGGUGUGCCUUUUGUAGAAUGAACCGGCGAGUUACGAUCCCGUGCGAGGUUAAGCUGAAGAGGCGGAGCCGCAGCGAAAGCGAGUCUGAAUAGGGCGUUUAGUACGUGGUCGUAGACCCGAAACCAGGUGAUCUACCCAUGUCCAGGGUGAAGUUCAGGUAACACUGAAUGGAGGCCCGAACCCACGCACGUUGAAAAGUGCGGGGAUGAGGUGUGGGUAGCGGAGAAAUUCCAAUCGAACCUGGAGAUAGCUGGUUCUCCCCGAAAUAGCUUUAGGGCUAGCCUUAAGUGUAAGAGUCUUGGAGGUAGAGCACUGAUUGGACUAGGGGUCCUCAUCGGAUUACCGAAUUCAGUCAAACUCCGAAUGCCAAUGACUUAUCCUUAGGAGUCAGACUGCGAGUGAUAAGAUCCGUAGUCAAAAGGGAAACAGCCCAGACCGCCAGCUAAGGUCCCAAAGUGUGUAUUAAGUGGAAAAGGAUGUGGAGUUGCUUAGACAACUAGGAUGUUGGCUUAGAAGCAGCCACCAUUUAAAGAGUGCGUAAUAGCUCACUAGUCGAGUGACUCUGCGCCGAAAAUGUACCGGGGCUAAAUACACCACCGAAGCUGCGGAUUGAUACCAAUGGUAUCAGUGGUAGGGGAGCGUUCUAAGGACAGUGAAGUCAGACCGGAAGGACUGGUGGAGUGCUUAGAAGUGAGAAUGCCGGUAUGAGUAGCGAAAGACGGGUGAGAAUCCCGUCCACCGAAUGCCUAAGGUUUCCUGAGGAAGGCUCGUCCGCUCAGGGUUAGUCAGGACCUAAGCCGAGGCCGACAGGCGUAGGCGAUGGACAACAGGUUGAUAUUCCUGUACCACCUCUUUAUCGUUUGAGCAAUGGAGGGACGCAGAAGGAUAGAAGAAGCGUGCGAUUGGUUGUGCACGUCCAAGCAGUUAGGCUGAUAAGUAGGCAAAUCCGCUUAUCGUGAAGGCUGAGCUGUGAUGGGGAAGCUCCUUAUGGAGCGAAGUCUUUGAUUCCCCGCUGCCAAGAAAAGCUUCUAGCGAGAUAAAAGGUGCCUGUACCGCAAACCGACACAGGUAGGCGAGGAGAGAAUCCUAAGGUGUGCGAGAGAACUCUGGUUAAGGAACUCGGCAAAAUGACCCCGUAACUUCGGGAGAAGGGGUGCUUUCUUAACGGAAAGCCGCAGUGAAUAGGCCCAAGCGACUGUUUAGCAAAAACACAGCUCUCUGCGAAGCCGUAAGGCGAAGUAUAGGGGGUGACACCUGCCCGGUGCUGGAAGGUUAAGGAGAGGGGUUAGCGUAAGCGAAGCUCUGAACUGAAGCCCCAGUAAACGGCGGCCGUAACUAUAACGGUCCUAAGGUAGCGAAAUUCCUUGUCGGGUAAGUUCCGACCCGCACGAAAGGUGUAACGAUUUGGGCACUGUCUCAACCAGAGACUCGGUGAAAUUAUAGUACCUGUGAAGAUGCAGGUUACCCGCGACAGGACGGAAAGACCCCGUGGAGCUUUACUGUAGCCUGAUAUUGAAUUUUGGUACAGUUUGUACAGGAUAGGCGGGAGCCUUUGAAACCGGAGCGCUAGCUUCGGUGGAGGCGCUGGUGGGAUACCGCCCUGACUGUAUUGAAAUUCUAACCUACGGGUCUUAUCGACCCGGGAGACAGUGUCAGGUGGGCAGUUUGACUGGGGCGGUCGCCUCCUAAAGUGUAACGGAGGCGCCCAAAGGUUCCCUCAGAAUGGUUGGAAAUCAUUCGUAGAGUGCAAAGGCAUAAGGGAGCUUGACUGCGAGACCUACAAGUCGAGCAGGGACGAAAGUCGGGCUUAGUGAUCCGGUGGUUCCGCAUGGAAGGGCCAUCGCUCAACGGAUAAAAGCUACCCCGGGGAUAACAGGCUUAUCUCCCCCAAGAGUCCACAUCGACGGGGAGGUUUGGCACCUCGAUGUCGGCUCAUCGCAUCCUGGGGCUGUAGUCGGUCCCAAGGGUUGGGCUGUUCGCCCAUUAAAGCGGUACGCGAGCUGGGUUCAGAACGUCGUGAGACAGUUCGGUCCCUAUCCGUCGUGGGCGUAGGAAAUUUGAGAGGAGCUGUCCUUAGUACGAGAGGACCGGGAUGGACGCACCGCUGGUGUACCAGUUGUUCUGCCAAGGGCAUAGCUGGGUAGCUAUGUGCGGAAGGGAUAAGUGCUGAAAGCAUCUAAGCAUGAAGCCCCCCUCAAGAUGAGAUUUCCCAUAGCGUAAGCUAGUAAGAUCCCUGAAAGAUGAUCAGGUUGAUAGGUUCGAGGUGGAAGCAUGGUGACAUGUGGAGCUGACGAAUACUAAUAGAUCGAGGACUUAACCA